UACGUAGGGUGCGAGCGUUAAUCGGAAUUACUGGGCGUAAAGGGCGCGUAGGCGGCCUGCUAAGUCACACGUGAAAUCCCUCGGCUCAACCGGGGAACUGCGUGUGAUACUGGCGGGCUCGAAUUCGGGAGAGGGAUGUGGAAUUCCAGGUGUAGCGGUGAAAUGCGUAGAUAUCUGGAGGAACACCGGUGGCGAAGGCGGCAUCCUGGACCGAGAUUGACGCUGAUGCGCGAAAGCUAGGGUAGCAAACGGG
RNAcentral lists this ribosomal RNA (253 nucleotides) under uncultured bacterium. RNAcentral's name for it is "partial 16S ribosomal RNA". It matches the Rfam family "Bacterial small subunit ribosomal RNA", at positions 524 to 776 of the family's 1533-position model. The record is from RNAcentral.